AGAGUUUGAUCAUGGCUCAGAACGAACGCUGGCGGCAGGCUUAACACAUGCAAGUCGAACGCUCGUAGCAAUACGGGAGUGGCGGACGGGUGAGUAACGCGUGGGAACGUGCCCUGAGGUACGGAAUAACUGCGGGAAACUGCAGCUAAUACCGUAUGAGCCCUGUGAGGGGGAAAGAUUUAUCGCCUUAGGAGCGGCCCGCGUCGGAUUAGCUAGUUGGUGGGGUAACGGCUUACCAAGGCUUCGAUCCGUAGCUGGUCUGAGAGGACGAUCAGCCACACUGGGACUGAGACACGGCCCAGACUCCUACGGGAGGCAGCAGUGGGAAUCUUGCGCAAUAGGGGCAACCCUGACGCAGCCAUGCCGCGUGAAUGAUGAAGGCCUUAGGGUUGUAAAGUUCUUUUGCCCGUGACGAUGAUGACGGUAACGGGAGAAUAAGCUCCGGCUAACUUCGUG
This 456-nucleotide ribosomal RNA is filed under the name uncultured bacterium. RNAcentral describes it as "bacterial SSU rRNA". It matches the Rfam family "Bacterial small subunit ribosomal RNA", at positions 8 to 507 of the family's 1533-position model. The record is from RNAcentral.